GAAAGCAGUGUCAAAGGCAUGGUUAAGAUGUUGAGAUAUUGAAGAAAUUGCCCUCUGUGAAGCUCAAUGUUAGUUCAUCUGCCCCAUUUUUGGUGGGUAGGUUUAUCAAAUGGUUAGUUGUGGUGCGAUCAAGCUGGAUUGGAUCACUAAUACAGUCAAGCUGACGUUGAUCAAAAGAUAUUGAUUCUAGAGUUGGAAGAAAGUUCAAGGGAUAUGUCUAGAUGCCCAACAACGGAGACGGGCUGACAAGACGAUCCGUCACUAUCUUCCCAAUGACUUCAUGAAGUUUGAUGUGCACAAUGCAAAUCAUCUAAUGGCAAUGAUCACCCUCCGACUCAAACCUCAGGAGAAAAGGUGUUGCAAGUUUUGAAUGAGUUUUGAAGAUUGAAUCUGAAACUAGACUGUCCUAGCAGUUGCUGUUGGUGCAACCGCGUCUAUAACCACCAUCCACUCCUAUAAAGGAACCUCGAUGGAAGGAAGCCGCUUUGGUGAUGUCUUCCUUGCAAUGGAAGCCUGCUUCUGCAUGUAUGGUGAGGGUGGGUGUCAUGGUCCUUUGAAGAAAGUUCCACACGAUAGUGUUGCUCCUGUGCGCUUCCUUCACUUCUGCAAAAAUUAUCUGAUUAAAUGACUUCCAUUUCUACUAGAUCCUUUCCAACUUUAUUAUUGUUUCUUAAUAUAUUCAAAGCUCCUUUUUGCUACUACUCGAUGGACUGCUUGUGAUGCCUAUAGCAUUCAGUUCCGUUGGCUGCUUUUUAAAAAUGGUUAAACCACUUUUAAUGCAAUCAAAUGGAUGCUUUGACCAAAGGUGUCUGACUCGAAUUUAUCCUACAAGCACCGAGGAAGCAACCAAGUCUGUUGACUUUUCCUUACGAAAG
Molecule: long non-coding RNA, 875 nt
Organism: Capsicum annuum
Lineage: Eukaryota; Viridiplantae; Streptophyta; Magnoliopsida; Solanales; Solanaceae
Exons: 3
Source: RefSeq, a predicted model, not a curated record